RNAcentral lists this ribosomal RNA (2171 nucleotides) under human metagenome. RNAcentral's name for it is "bacterial LSU rRNA". It matches the Rfam family "Bacterial large subunit ribosomal RNA", at positions 1 to 1999 of the family's 2925-position model. The record is from RNAcentral.
GUAAGUUGUUAAGGGCACACGGUGGAUGCCUUGGCAUCAGGAGCCGAUGAAGGACGUGUGAAUCUGCGAUAAGCCUCGGGGAGCCGAUAACUGGGCGUGGAUCCGAGGAUUUCCGAAUGGGGAAACCUCGCUCAUCGUUUUGGUGGGUGACCGCUGGUUGAAUGUAUAGGCCAGUUGGGGGGAACGCGGGGAAGUGAAACAUCUCAGUACCCGCAGGAAGAGAAAAUAAUAAUGAUUCUGUUAGUAGUGGCGAGCGAACGCGGAUGAGGCUAAACCUGUGGUGUGUGAUAGCGGUUAGGUGUUGCAUCAUGGGUGUUGUGGGAGUUGUUGUGGUGGUUCUAACUGGUCACCGGCGUAGUGCAUGAUGGUAGGCGAACUGGCUUGGAAUGGUCGACCGUAGUGGGUGAGAGUCCCGUAGUUGAAAGUGUUGUGUGUGCGUUGACAAUGUCCCGAGUAGCACGGGGCUCGUGGAAUCUCGUGUGAAUCUGCCAGGACCACCUGGUAAGUCUAAAUACUUCCUGAUGACCGAUAGUGGAUCAGUACCGUGAGGGAAUGGUGAAAAGUACCCCGGGAGGGGAGUGAAAUAGUACCUGAAACCGUGUGCUUACAAGCCGUUAUAGCCCCCCUUUUGUGUGGGGUGGUGGCGUGCCUUUUGAAGAAUGAGCCUGCGAGUUAGUGUUUUGUCGCGAGGUUAACCCGUGUGGGGUAGUCGUAGCGAAAGCGAGUCUGAAUAGGGCGUUGUAGUGGCAGGAUCUAGACCCGAAGCGGAGUGAUCUAUCCAUGGCCAGGUUGAAGCACGUGUAAGAGCGUGUGGAGGACCGAACCCACCUAGGUUGAAAACUGGGGGGAUGAGCUGUGGAUAGGGGUGAAAGGCCAAUCAAACUCUGUGAUAGCUGGUUCUCCCCGAAAUGCAUUUAGGUGCAGCGUUACAUGUUUCUUGCUGGAGGUAGAGCUACUGGAUGGCCGAUGGGCCCGCGAGGGUUACUGACGUUAGCUAAACUCCGAAUGCCGGUAAGUGAGAGUGUAGCAGUGAGACAGUGGGGGAUAAGCUUCAUUGUCGAGAGGGAAACAGCCCAGACCAUCAACUAAGGCCCCUAAGCGUGUGCUAAGUGGGAAAGGAUGUGGAGUUGCUGAGACAACCAGGAGGUUGGCUUAGAAGCAGCCAUCCUUGAAAGAGUGCGUAAUAGCUCACUGGUCAAGUGAUUCUGCGCCGAUAAUGUAGCGGGGCUCAAGUACACCGCCGAAGUUGUGGCAAUCAGUCUUUGUGGCUGGUUGGGUAGGGGAGCGUCCUGCACGAGGUGAAGCUGCCACGGGAGUGUGUGGUGGAUUGUGUGGGAGUGAGAAUGCAGGCAUGAGUAGCGAAUCACGGGUGAGAAACCCGUGCGCCGGAUGAUCAAGGGUUCCAGGGUCAAGUUAAUCUGCCCUGGGUUAGUCGGGGCCUAAGGCGAGGCCGACAGGCGUAGUCGAUGGAGAACGGGUUGAUAUUCCCGUACCAGUGAAGGACCGUCCAUACUGAUAUUGUGAUGCUAACCAUGCCGAUCACGGUGUCAUGAAGUUUUUCUUUGUGGUGUUGUGGGGUGUGUGGGACCCAAGCUUUGGAGGUAAGCGUGUUAACAGGUGUGACGCAGGAAGGUAGCCAAGCCACGCGGUGGUUGUCGUGGUCUAAGCGUGUAGGAUGACUGGUUGUUAAAUGCGCCGGUUGUGUGUCUGAGACGUGAUGGGACCCCUUGUUUGUGGGGGAUUUGGUGAUCCUAUGCUGCCGAGAAAAGCAUCGGCGUGAGGUUUUAGCUGCCCGUACCCGAAACCGACACAGGUGAUCAGGUAGAGAAUACUAAGGCGAUCGAGAGAAUCAUGGUUAAGGAACUCGGCAAAAUGCCCCCGUAACUUCGGGAGAAGGGGGGCCCUGAGCGUGAUCUGCCCGUGCGGUGGGGAGCGUGUAGGGGUCGCAGAGACCAGGGGGAAGCGACUGUUUAUCAAAAACACAGGUCCGUGCGAAGUCGUAAGACGAGGUAUACGGACUGACUCCUGCCCGGUGCUGGAAGGUUAAGAGGAUUGGUUAGCCCUGUGUGGGCGAAGCUGAGAAUUUAAGCCCCAGUAAACGGCGGUGGUAACUAUAACCAUCCUAAGGUAGCGAAAUUCCUUGUCGGGUAAGUUCCGACCUGCACGAAUGG